This 446-nucleotide ribosomal RNA is filed under the name uncultured bacterium. RNAcentral describes it as "bacterial SSU rRNA". It matches the Rfam family "Bacterial small subunit ribosomal RNA", at positions 330 to 792 of the family's 1533-position model. The record is from RNAcentral.
ACCAGACUCCUACGGGAGGCAGCAGUGGGGGAUAUUGCACAAUGGGGGGAACCCUGAUGCAGCGACGCCGCGUGGGUGAAGGAGUGCUUCGGCAUGUAAAGCCCUAUCGGCAGGGAAGAAGCAAGACGGUACCUGACUAAGAAGCCCCGGCUAACUACGUGCCAGCAGCCGCGGUAAUACGUAGGGGGCAAGCGUUAUCCGGAUUUACUGGGUGUAAAGGGGGCGUAGACGGCGAUGCAAGCCAGAUGUGAAAGCCCGGGGCUCAACCCCGGGACUGCAUUUGGAACUGUGUGGCUGGAGUGUCGGAGAGGCAGGCGGAAUUCCUAGUGUAGCGGUGAAAUGCGUAGAUAUUAGGAGGAACACCGGUGGCGAAGGCGGCCUGCUGGACUGCGACUGACGUUGAGGCCCGAAAGCGUGGGGAGCAAACAGGAUUAGAUACCCCAGUA